RNAcentral lists this ribosomal RNA (280 nucleotides) under uncultured bacterium. RNAcentral's name for it is "partial 16S ribosomal RNA". It matches the Rfam family "Bacterial small subunit ribosomal RNA", at positions 506 to 784 of the family's 1533-position model. The record is from RNAcentral.
UGCCAGCAGCCGCGGUAAUACGGAGGGUGCAAGCGUUAAUCGGAAUUACUGGGCGUAAAGCGAGUGUAGGCGGCUACGUAAGUCGGAUGUGAAAGCCCUGGGCUCAACCUGGGAAUGGCAUUCGAUACUGCGUAGACUUGAAUUUGGUAGAGGAAAGUGGAAUUCCGGGUGUAGCGGUGAAAUGCGUAGAUAUCCGGAGGAACAUCAGUGGCGAAGGCGGCUUUCUGGACCAAAAUUGACGCUGAGGCACGAAAGCGUGGGGAGCAAACAGGAUUAGAUA